GAGGAAUAUUGCACAAUGGGCGCAAGCCUAAUGCAGCAACGCCGCGUGCGGGACGAAGGCCUUCGGGUCGUAAACCGCUUUUCUGGGGGAAGAGCAAGGACGGUACCUCAGGAAUAAGUCUCGGCUAACUACGUGCCAGCAGCCGCGGUAAAACGUAGGAGGCGAGCGUUAUCCGGAUUUACUGGGCGUAAAGCGCACGCAGGCGGCUCUGUUAGUCGGACGUGAAAGCUCUCGGCUUAACCGGGAGAGGCCGUUCGAUACUGCGGGGCUUGAGGUAGGGAGAGGAAUGCGGAAUUCCCGGUGUAGUGGUGGAAUGCGUAGAUAUCGGGAGGAACACCUGUGGCGAAAGCGGCAUUCUGGCCCUCACCUGACGCUGAGGUGCGAAAGCGUGGGUAGCAAACA
Molecule: ribosomal RNA, 402 nt
Filed under: uncultured bacterium
Lineage: Bacteria
Description: bacterial SSU rRNA
Rfam family: Bacterial small subunit ribosomal RNA
Source: RNAcentral